UUGGAAGACAAUAGAGAAUUUGAUGAUCAAUCUCAUGGGGUAAUUAAACUAAUAAACUUGACAUCCCCAUUCUUAAUUAGGCCUUUUCCUUUUCCUUUUCCUUUUCCUUUUCCUUUCCCUUGUUGGGUGAUGAAACUCUGCCAUCUGUCCCUGCCAUCAUAGCAUAUUUGUCCUUCCUGGUCAAAUUGGUGCACUCAAAACCUAAAGUCCCAGCCAAAACCCUCUGAAUAUAAUUUGCAACUUCAAUGGCAGAUUUCCCUCCUCUGCAAGUGAGCUCUGCAGGCAGCUGGUUCAAGAAGGUGAUCUCAUAAGUAGGCAUAGGGUUCAUGAACACAAAGUAUGGGUCCAGCAAUUUGUGCCCUCUAACUGUCG
RNAcentral lists this long non-coding RNA (372 nucleotides) under Prunus persica (peach). RNAcentral's name for it is "long non-coding RNA (PPER_LNC006650)". Lineage: Eukaryota; Viridiplantae; Streptophyta; Magnoliopsida; Rosales; Rosaceae. The record is from RNAcentral.